Molecule: ribosomal RNA, 41 nt
Filed under: Cryptomonas paramaecium
Lineage: Eukaryota; Cryptophyceae; Cryptomonadales; Cryptomonadaceae
Description: Cryptomonas paramecium partial Eukaryotic large subunit ribosomal RNA
Source: RNAcentral
CAUCCAGCAGCUGGUUCCCUCCGAGGUUUCCCUCGGGAUAG